RNAcentral lists this ribosomal RNA (1177 nucleotides) under Arsenicicoccus sp. YIM KMY39. RNAcentral's name for it is "bacterial SSU rRNA". It matches the Rfam family "Bacterial small subunit ribosomal RNA", at positions 28 to 1218 of the family's 1533-position model. The record is from RNAcentral. Lineage: Bacteria; Bacillati; Actinomycetota; Actinomycetes; Micrococcales; Intrasporangiaceae.
GACGAACGCUGGCGGCGUGCUUAACACAUGCAAGUCGAACGAUGAUGCCCAGCUUGCUGGGUGGAUUAGUGGCGAACGGGUGAGUAACACGUGAGUAACCUGCCCUUCACUCUGGGAUAACUCCGGGAAACCGGGGCUAAUACUGGAUAUGACUCCUCCUCGCAUGGGGUGGGAGUGGAAAGCUUUUGUGGUGGAGGAUGGACUCGCGGCCUAUCAGCUUGUUGGUGAGGUAGUGGCUCACCAAGGCGACGACGGGUAGCCGGCCUGAGAGGGCGACCGGCCACACUGGGACUGAGACACGGCCCAGACUCCUACGGGAGGCAGCAGUGGGGAAUAUUGCACAAUGGGCGAAAGCCUGAUGCAGCGACGCCGCGUGAGGGAUGAAGGCCUUCGGGUUGUAAACCUCUUUCAGCUCUGAAGAAGCGAAAGUGACGGUAGGAGCAGAAGAAGCACCGGCUAACUACGUGCCAGCAGCCGCGGUAAUACGUAGGGUGCGAGCGUUGUCCGGAAUUAUUGGGCGUAAAGAGCUUGUAGGUGGUUUGUCGCGUCUGCGGUGAAAUCCCAACGCUUAACGUUGGGCUUGCCGUGGGUACGGGCAGACUAGAGUGUGGUAGGGGAGACUGGAAUUCCUGGUGUAGCGGUGAAAUGCGCAGAUAUCAGGAGGAACACCGAUGGCGAAGGCAGGUCUCUGGGCCAUAACUGACACUGAGAAGCGAAAGCAUGGGGAGCGAACAGGAUUAGAUACCCUGGUAGUCCAUGCCGUAAACGUUGGGCGCUAGGUGUGGGGCUCAUUCCACGAGUUCCGUGCCGCAGCUAACGCAUUAAGCGCCCCGCCUGGGGAGUACGGCCGCAAGGCUAAAACUCAAAGGAAUUGACGGGGGCCCGCACAAGCGGCGGAGCAUGCGGAUUAAUUCGAUGCAACGCGAAGAACCUUACCAAGGCUUGACAUACACCGGAAACAUNCAGAGAUGGGUGCCCCGCAAGGUCGGUGUACAGGUGGUGCAUGGUUGUCGUCAGCUCGUGUCGUGAGAUGUUGGGUUAAGUCCCGCAACGAGCGCAACCCUCGUUCUAUGUUGCCAGCGCGUUAUGGCGGGGACUCAUAGGAGACUGCCGGGGUCAACUCGGAGGAAGGUGGGGAUGACGUCAAAUCAUCAUGCCCCUUAUGUCUUGGGCUUCA